RNAcentral lists this ribosomal RNA (2248 nucleotides) under Triticum aestivum (bread wheat). RNAcentral describes it as "partial small subunit ribosomal RNA". The record is from RNAcentral. Lineage: Eukaryota; Viridiplantae; Streptophyta; Magnoliopsida; Poales; Poaceae.
UCGCACCACCCCUCUUGAGUCCUUGACGGGUUGACCCCUCUCCUACGGUCGUCGCAAACUUGUUGUACCCGCAACCUCUCUUCUCCUGGCCCUCUCCGAACUCCAAACCCUAGAGGCGCCGCACACCGCAGCGACACGUCCAGCGAGAUGCGGCCGCGCGGCAGAGGGGACGACCCUGACGACGACGAGGACUACGAGUCCUCCCCGCAGCGGAGCGCCCCGGGGUCGGAUGCCGAGCCCGAAGAGCCCGCGCCGCCGCCGCCGCCGCAGCCCACGCGCGCGCCCCUCAGCAGCCUAGUCGUCCGGCCGUCGCCGCCGCCGCCGCAGGAUAACGGCGCGUCCUCCCAGUCCCCUGCCCGUUCGUCCCCCUCCCCCGUCGGCGACGCCCAGGGUCGCCGCCGCGGGUCCUCGCUCCCUCGUCGCCGUCGCGAGUUCUCGUCGCCGGGCCCCCGGAUCAGGGAGAGACGCCGGUCGCCGCCGCCCCCCGCGAGGCGCCGCCCUGGCAGCCCGCCGCCCCCCCAGCGCCGCCGCUUCAGCCCACCCGGUUACCAGCCUCGGCCCCCACGAUUCUACGACGAGCCGCAAGGAUAUGGCAUGCAUGCUGGACCAUCACCUCCGCGCCAACGCAGAUUAGAAAGCAGCAACUUUGAUGACGCUAUUGGUCCACGUUACACCCAUGGCUAUGAAGGGAAUGGUAGAGGAUAUGCAAGGGGUGGUAGGGGAUAUGAAGGGGGUGGUAGGGGAUAUGAAGGGGGUGGUAGAGGAGGUGCAAGAUUCCAAGAUGUUUCUCCACCAUAUGGAAGAGGAGGCAGGUCGCACGGGAGGGGGAGCUAUAAUGGUCCUGGAAAGGAGUUCAUUCUAAUUGAUGGAGAAUAUGUUCACAGGAAUGAUCCAAAUCUUUCACCAAGAGAAGGUGAUUGGAUAUGCCAGAAUCCGAGUUGUGGAAACCUCAACUUUGCUCGAAGAAGUCACUGUAACAACUGCAACAAACACCGCUAUGAGUCUAGUCUUAGUCCUCACAGGGGUUACUUUGACUCUCCUCCACGAGUGCCUGCAAGGCCACUUGGUCAACCAAGUGAUCGUGCUCCUCCAAGAGAAAUGGCGAGGUACAAGCCAGCACCCCGUGAUUGGGGUGUGGGUGAUCCUAGAAGUUAUCCAGCUAGAUCACCUCCAGAACGCGUAGGACGAUUUCCAGAUCCAUUGCAGAGGGAAAGGGGUUUCCGUGGUGAACGUGAGUUGCGUGACCCUGUGAAGUUUGAGUGGUCUGCUGCGGAGUACAAGCAGAGGGAGGGUCCACAUGGUGGGUUGUAUCUUGACAGGAGCCGAUCUCCUCAGGGGAGCUGGGGGAGCGAUAUGCGGGACAGAAGCAGAUCUCCUGCAGGUAACAGACCAAUGAAGGGUGCUUUCUUGGGCAGAGGUCGACCAGACCUAGAGUAUGGUGGUUCAUAUGUAGGCCGAGGGCGGUUGGAUGGUGGGCGCGGGCGUGGACGUGGGCGUGGCCGUGUUUACAGGCCAGGAGGUGAUCCAUACCCUGGCGAGGGCCGAGAUGAUCGGCGCGCUGCUCUUCAUGGUAGGGAUGAUGGGCGCUACUAGUUCAUCCUUUGAACUGAUUCUCUGGAAAGAAAGAUCUAGUUAAGACGGUGCAGGUCCAGCCUGUAAUAUUAAACUAUCAGUACUGUUUCCUCAACUGUGAUGACAUUUGCAAUGUUCUGAAAUGAACAAGUCCACUAUGCACUGGAUGAUGGUAUUAUUUUGGUUCAGUGAGCAGCUGGGUUGUUAUGUCAAAGCUGAUCUGAUUAUUUGGUUAUUUUGGGUUGCUUCUCGGUUGGGUUAUACCCUCAUGCCUGGUCGGGUGGAGUAUAUGCAACACAAGGAUUUCAGGUUGCUCUGGCAGCUGUAGGUCACAUGCCUUGGCCCUUGUGGUCUACGAGUUGUGGGCAUAGCCAGAAAGGUUCCGUAAUCACGGCAAUGUGUACUUCCAGUGGAACCCACUGCACUGCAUGAUGGCCUGAAGCAUCAAUGAAAAAGUCAUCAUUGGUAGAGCUACAAACAGGGGUGAUUUAACCUAUUGGAAGAAACUAAAGUUUUGUAGUGUGCAAAUAUCAAAUGUUUCACCGAGGCCUAUUUAGGACGUUGUACUAGGAACGGAAGACAGGUCGUGGUAUGCUUCGAUUUGUGUUAUGAUUUAUGAAUGUGUAUAUCUUGUGCCGGUUACACCAGGUGUAUCAAUUCAUUUUGCACAUAAUUC